AAGAUUCGAUUCUGAACAAACUGUAGCGUCAUGAACGAAUCCACAGUGCAACGAGCGAAACCUGAACAUAUGGC
RNAcentral lists this small RNA (74 nucleotides) under Arabidopsis thaliana (thale cress). Its description in RNAcentral is "ATSL069120". Lineage: Eukaryota; Viridiplantae; Streptophyta; Magnoliopsida; Brassicales; Brassicaceae. The record is from RNAcentral.